Molecule: ribosomal RNA, 501 nt
Filed under: uncultured bacterium
Lineage: Bacteria
Description: bacterial SSU rRNA
Rfam family: Bacterial small subunit ribosomal RNA
Source: RNAcentral
AUUGAACGCUGCCGGAAUGCUUUACACAUGCAAGUCGAGCGGCAGCGCGGGGGCAACCCUGGCGGCGAGCGGCGAACGGGUGAGUAACAUAUCGGAACGUACCCCGUCGUGGGGGAUAACACAGCGAAAGCUGUGCUAAUACCGCAUACGACCUGAGGAUGAAAGCGGGGGAUCGCAAGACCUCGCGCGAAUGGAGCGGCCGAUGUCAGAUUAGGUAGUUGGUGGGGUAAAGGCUCACCAAGCCAACGAUCUGUAGCUGGUCUGAGAGGACGACCAGCCACACUGGAACUGAGACACGGUCCAGACUCCUACGGGAGGCAGCAGCGGGGAAUUUUGGACAAUGGGCGCAAGCCUGAUCCAGCCAUUCCGCGUGCAGGAUGAAGGCCUUCGGGUGUAAACUGCUUUUGUACGGUAACGAAACGCGGAGCUCUAAUACAGUUUGCUAAUGACGGUACCGUAGAAUAAGACACCGGCUAACUACGUGCCAGCAGCCGCGGUAAU